UACGUAGGGUGCGAGCGUUAAUCGGAAUUACUGGGCGUAAAGCUUGCGCAGGCGGCUUUGCAAGACAGAUGUGAAAUCCCCGGGCUCAACCUGGGAACUGCAUUUGUGAAUGCAAGGCUAGAGUACGGCAGAGGGGGAUGGAAUUCCGCGUGUAGCAGUGAAAUGCGUAGAUAUGCGGAGGAACACCAAUGGCGAAGGCAAUCCCCUGGGCCUGUACUGACGCUCAUGCACGAAAGCGUGGGGAGCAAACAGG
Molecule: ribosomal RNA, 253 nt
Filed under: uncultured bacterium
Lineage: Bacteria
Description: partial 16S ribosomal RNA
Rfam family: Bacterial small subunit ribosomal RNA
Source: RNAcentral